UUACUACUCCCUCCGUCAGAAAACACUUGUCAUCAAAAUGGACAAAAAGGGAUGUAUCUAGAACUAAAAUACAUCUAGAUACAUCCCCUUUUAUUCAUUUUGAUGACAAGUAUUUCCGGACGGAGGGAAUAUUUG
Non-coding RNA from Triticum aestivum (bread wheat), 135 nucleotides. NCBI's taxonomy places the organism in Eukaryota, Viridiplantae, Streptophyta, Magnoliopsida, Poales, Poaceae. The record is from Rfam.